UCCCUGGUAGCUCAGAGGUUAAAGCAUCUGCCUGCAAUGCAGAAGAUCUGGGUUCAAUCCCUGGGUCGGGAA
Molecule: transfer RNA, 72 nt
Filed under: Ovis aries (sheep)
Lineage: Eukaryota; Metazoa; Chordata; Mammalia; Artiodactyla; Bovidae
Rfam family: tRNA
About the family: Transfer RNA (tRNA) molecules are approximately 80 nucleotides in length.
Source: Rfam by way of RNAcentral